AGAGUUUGAUCCUGGCUCAGGAUGAACGCUAGCUACAGGCUUAACACAUGCAAGUCGAGGGGCAGCAUAUCGAAAGCUUGCUUUGAUGAUGGCGACCGGCGCACGGGUGAGUAACGCGUAUCCAACCUUCCCUAUACUAGAGGAUAGCCCGGCGAAAGUCGGAUUAAUACUCUAUGUUGUAUUUCGAGGACAUCUGAAUAAUACCAAAGGUUUACCGGUAUAGGAUGGGGAUGCGUCUGAUUAGGUUGUUGGCGGGGUAACGGCCCACCAAGCCUACGAUCAGUAGGGGUUCUGAGAGGAAGGUCCCCACAUUGGAACUGAGACACGGUCCAAACUCCUACGGGAGGCAGCAGUGAGGAAUAUUGGUCAAUGGACGAGAGUCUGAACCAGCCAAGUAGCGUGCAGGAUGACGGCCCUAUGGGUUGUAAACUGCUUUUAUACAGGGAUAAAGUGACGUACGUGUACGUUUUGUAGGUACUGUAUGAAUAAGGACCGACUAAUUCCGUGCC
RNAcentral lists this ribosomal RNA (509 nucleotides) under uncultured bacterium. Its description in RNAcentral is "bacterial SSU rRNA". It matches the Rfam family "Bacterial small subunit ribosomal RNA", at positions 8 to 509 of the family's 1533-position model. The record is from RNAcentral.